GGACUACAGGGGUAUCUAAUCCUGUUUGCUCCCCACGCUUUCGAGACUCAGCGUCAGUAAUGGGCCAGUGUGUCGCCUUCGCCACUGGUGUUCUUCCGAAUAUCUACGAAUUUCACCUCUACACUCGGAGUUCCACACACCUCUCCCAUACUCUAGACCGCCAGUAUUGAAGGCAAUUCCGAGGUUGAGCCCCGGGCUUUCACCCCCAACUAAACGAUCCGCCUACGCUCCCUUUACGCCCAGUAAUUCCGAGCAACGCUAGCCCCCUUCGUAUUACCGCGGCUGCUGGCAC
RNAcentral lists this ribosomal RNA (292 nucleotides) under uncultured bacterium. RNAcentral describes it as "partial 16S ribosomal RNA". The record is from RNAcentral.